ACUCCUACGGGAGGCAAGCAGUGGGAAUAUUGCACAAUGGGGGAAACCCUGAUGCAGCCAUGCCGCGUGUGUGAAGAAGGCCUUCGGGUUGUAAAGCACUUUCAGUAGGGAGGAAGGUAGUGUAGUUAACACCUGCAUUAUUUGACGUUACCUACAGAAGAAGCACCGGCUAACUCCGUGCCAAGCAGCCGCGGUAAUAACGGAGGGUGCGAGCGUUAAUCGGAAUUACUGGGCGUAAAGCGCAUGCAGGCGGCCUGUUAAGUCAGAUGUGAAAGCCCGGGG
Molecule: ribosomal RNA, 282 nt
Filed under: uncultured bacterium
Lineage: Bacteria
Description: partial 16S ribosomal RNA
Rfam family: Bacterial small subunit ribosomal RNA
Source: RNAcentral